RNAcentral lists this ribosomal RNA (849 nucleotides) under marine metagenome. RNAcentral describes it as "bacterial SSU rRNA". It matches the Rfam family "Bacterial small subunit ribosomal RNA", at positions 211 to 1076 of the family's 1533-position model. The record is from RNAcentral.
UCAGCCGAACUAAGAUGAGCUCGCGUUCUAUCAGCUAGUUGGUGAGGUAAUAGCUCACCAAGGCAACGACGGAUAGCUGGUCUGAGAGGACGAUCAGCCACACUGGGACUGAGACACGGCCCAGACUCCUACGGGAGGCUGCAGCAGGGAAUAUUGCGCAAUGAGCGAAAGCUUGACGCAGCGACACCGCGUGUGGGAUGACGGAUCUAGGUUUGUAAACCACUUUCAGGAGGGAAGAAAAUGACGGUACCUCCACAAGAAGCCCCGGCCAACUACGUGCCAGCAGCCGCGGUAAUACGUAGGGGGCGAGCGUUGUCCGGAUUUAUUGGGCGUAAAGAGCUCGUAGGCGGUUCAACAAGUCGGUCGUAAAAGUUCAGGGCUCAACCCUGAAAUGUCGAUCGAUACUGUUGUGACUAGGAUACGGUAGAGGUGAGUGGAAUUCCGAGUGUAGCGGUGAAAUGCGUAGAUAUUCGGAGGAACACCAAUUGCGAAGGCAGCUCACUGGGCCGCUAUCGACGCUGAGGAGCGAAAGCUAGGGGAGCAAACAGGAUUAGAUACCCUGGUAGUCCUAGCUGUAAACGAUGGAUACUAGACGUAGGAACUGGAUUGACGGUUUCUGUGUCGUAGCUAACGCGUUAAGUAUCCCGCCUGGGGAGUACGGUCGCAAGACUAAAACUCAAAGGAAUUGACGGGACCCCGCACAAGCGGCGGAGCAUGCGGCUUAAUUCGAUGAUACCCGUAGAACCUUACCUGGACUUGACAUAUAGGGUCUAGCUAUAGAGAUAUAGUGUGCAUUAGCGCCCUAUACAGGUGGUGCAUGGCUGUCGUCAGCUCGUGUCGUGAGAUGUU